RNAcentral lists this ribosomal RNA (465 nucleotides) under Vreelandella stevensii. RNAcentral describes it as "partial 16S ribosomal RNA". It matches the Rfam family "Bacterial small subunit ribosomal RNA", at positions 338 to 795 of the family's 1533-position model. The record is from RNAcentral. Lineage: Bacteria; Pseudomonadati; Pseudomonadota; Gammaproteobacteria; Oceanospirillales; Halomonadaceae.
CCUACGGGGGGCAGCAGUGGGGAAUAUUGGGCAAUGGGGGCAACCCUGAUCCAGCCAUGCCGCGUGUGUGAAGAAGGCCCUCGGGUUGUAAAGCACUUUCAGUGAGGAAGAACGCCUGGUGGUUAAUACCCAUCAGGAAAGACAUCACUCACAGAAGAAGCACCGGCUAACUCCGUGCCAGCAGCCGCGGUAAUACGGAGGGUGCGAGCGUUAAUCGGAAUUACUGGGCGUAAAGCGCGCGUAGGUGGCUUGAUAAGCCGGUUGUGAAAGCCCCGGGCUCAACCUGGGAACGGCAUCCGGAACUGUCAAGCUAGAGUGCAGGAGAGGAAGGUAGAAUUCCCGGUGUAGCGGUGAAAUGCGUAGAGAUCGGGAGGAAUACCAGUGGCGAAGGCAGCCUUCUGGACUGACACUGACACUGAGGUGCGAAAGCGUGGGUAGCAAACAGGAUUAGAUACCCUUGUAGUC